Long non-coding RNA from Brassica napus (rape), 1865 nucleotides. RefSeq lists it as uncharacterized. The transcript has 7 exons. The record is from RefSeq and is a predicted model, not a curated record. Lineage: Eukaryota; Viridiplantae; Streptophyta; Magnoliopsida; Brassicales; Brassicaceae.
UUAAUUAGAUAUUUUUACUUAAAUUUGUAUUAUUAAGUGUUGUGCUAGGCUGCUAGCUUUAGUAAACAUCAAAAAGAAUGUAAUUUAAAAUAAGUAAGCUUAAAUCGAUGACGCACUAUAUAUAUAACAACAACCCUUGAGCCAGGAAACAUUAGUGGUGAGGAUAAAAACAACUCCCAAAAUAAAUUAUUUUUUUCAGAUUUAGUUAGGUUUCUUUGUCACUCAUAACUGUCUUGCGAAAUUAGAUUCUUGUGCUGAAAGAAACCUUAAAAUUGUUUACCUUUUCUCUUUCCGGAGAGGGUUUAUAUUUUAUCAUAAGUUUAGGAUCAUAUUCAAUGGAGAUCAAAGCUGAAACGAUGCAAAAGUCAAAGUUCAAAAGAAUAUGUGUCUUUUGUGGAAGCAGCCAAGGCAAGAAGAGUAGUUACCAAGAUGCUGCUGUAGAUCUCGGCAACGAACUGGUCUCAAGGAAAAUUGAUCUAUGUUAGGAUUUUAACCUUAACCUUGUGCUAUAGAAUUAGGAAUAAACUUGAUACCAAACUUGUCUUAGCUUUUAUUCACUACAAAGGUUUCUCAAGAACAAAAUAUAAAGAUCACAAGCCUAAGCAAUAAACGCUCUUCCUAAUUGCUAAUCUCUCUUGAUCUCUCUUUAUCUAACUUAUUGCUCUCUUCUCUCUUCUUAAACGGAUGAUCUUUGUUGUUGUUGAAGCUUUCCUUAUAUAGUCACGACCUAGACCGAAUCCUCUUUGUAAAAGGAUUAUUUCCAUUCUCUUAAAUUGGUAAAGCACGAGACCGUCAUUAACGUAAUCAGAAACUUGCCGCCAAAGUAAUCUUUUGGUAUUGGGCUUAAAGUAGAAUUUGGCCCAUAUCAUUACAAUCUCCACCUUGGGCCCAAAUCCAUACUUCUCCUUUUGCGUCUUCUUCGUUGAGCAACAAUACCAACUCUUCUCUGUAGCUUUGACGAUCAUAGUGAUUCUUACCCAACCACUACCUCCACUUUUCUCCGCUCUGGUUCCUUUGGCAAACAAAGCUAGCGAUUUCAGGAGCUUCACCAAGCUUUCCCUCCGUUUCCGCGUGACUGGUCCGUCUUCUCUUCUCCACUCCAGCCGGUGAAUUCAUCCCCCUUGUGAAUCUUGCCGAUAAAUUCUCUCGCCAAUGCUCUGAUUUGUUCACCGCUUCCUCUUCUCAGGCGCUAGCUUGCAACGCCUCAACCGUAGAUGUGCAUGCUCACCCUCGUAUGGCUUCCUGGUCAUGUCCUUUUUGUUUUCUUUAGAAUCAGACUCUUCAGUUUGCACAGACGUCUCUCCACCAUGUAGCUUCCUUUGGUUUGAUGUAGACGGUUCCUUGCUACGACCAUGUAUUUUUCAGACCUUGUAUAGACUGUGUCGUCUAUAACCACCAUUCCUCAGAGCUUCUUGGAAAAGACUUUCAGUCUCCUCAGCGGUUUAAGACGAUCACUUCGCUUGUGCUUGUUCUGCGAUCUUGUAGUCCUGUAACCUGAGAUACUCGUCUCCCUUCACCAUUACUGGUGUUCAAGACGUUCUCUCAUCAACCUUCCCCUUCCUUGUAUGGCAACCCAGUUGGGAUUCCUUUCUAGCCUGAGAUACUCGUCUCCAUUCACCACUCUUGAUGUUUAAGACGUUCUCUCAUCUGCUCCACCUUGAGCUAAAACAUCCACCUCGUCUUAUCCGUCACAAGUAAAUUUUCUUGCUCCUUACUAGCUCUUUAUUAUCGAUAAGAAAUAACAGUAGUCCCUUACUCAUUAUUUCUUCUUGUGCGAGGUGUCUCGAUAAUAAAAUUACCUGUGACGCUUUUCUCCUAUCAGUGGACAUUAGGAAGUUCACAGCAAAGCUGCAACUUCUGAUCAG